ACGGGAGGCAGCAGUGGGGAAUCUUCCGCAAUGGGCGCAAGCCUGACGGAGCAACGCCGCGUGAGUGAAGAAGGUCUUCGGAUCGUAAAGCUCUGUUGAGAGGGACGAGAGAUAAUGUCAGGAAAUGGGCAUUAGAGGACGGUACCUUUCGAGGAAGCCACGGCUAACUACGUGCCAGCAGCCGCGGUAAUACGUAGGUGGCGAGCGUUGUCCGGAAUUAUUGGGCGUAAAGGGAGCGCAGGUGGGAUUGCAAGUCAGUCUUAAAAGUGCGGGGCUCAACCCCGUGAUGGGAUUGAAACUGCAGUUCUUGAGUGCAGGAGAGGAAAGCGGAAUUCCUAGUGUAGCGGUGAAAUGCGUAGAUAUUAGGAGGAACACCAGUGGCGAAGGCGGCUUUCUGGACUGUAACUGACACUGAGGCUCGAAAGCGUGGGGAGCGAACAGGAUUAGAUACCCUGGUA
This 458-nucleotide ribosomal RNA is filed under the name uncultured Anaerovibrio sp. Its description in RNAcentral is "bacterial SSU rRNA". It matches the Rfam family "Bacterial small subunit ribosomal RNA", at positions 341 to 792 of the family's 1533-position model. The record is from RNAcentral. Lineage: Bacteria; Bacillati; Bacillota; Negativicutes; Selenomonadales; Selenomonadaceae.